RNAcentral lists this ribosomal RNA (253 nucleotides) under uncultured bacterium. RNAcentral's name for it is "partial 16S ribosomal RNA". It matches the Rfam family "Bacterial small subunit ribosomal RNA", at positions 524 to 776 of the family's 1533-position model. The record is from RNAcentral.
UACGAACUGUGCGAACGUUAUUCGGAAUCACUGGGCUUACAGGGUGCGUAGGCGGCUUGUUAAGUAGGGUGUGAAAGCCCCCGGCUCAACCGGGGAAUGGCGCCCUAAACUGGCGAGCUGGAGUGAGAUAGGGGUGUGUGGAACUUCCGGUGGAGCGGUGAAAUGUGUUGAUAUCGGAAGGAACGCCGGUGGCGAAAGCGACGUGCUGGACCUCUUCUGACGCUGAGGCGCGAAAGCCAGGGGAGCAAACGGG